This 72-nucleotide transfer RNA is filed under the name Marmota monax (woodchuck). RNAcentral describes it as "tRNA.Ala". The record is from RNAcentral. Lineage: Eukaryota; Metazoa; Chordata; Mammalia; Rodentia; Sciuridae.
GGGGAUGUGGCUCAAGUGGUAGAGCGCUUACCUGGCAUGAGCGGGGCACUGGGUUCAAUCCGCAGCACCACA